Molecule: long non-coding RNA, 2647 nt
Filed under: Piliocolobus tephrosceles (Ugandan red Colobus)
Lineage: Eukaryota; Metazoa; Chordata; Mammalia; Primates; Cercopithecidae
Description: lncRNA (ENSPTEG00000013855.1)
Source: RNAcentral
AUGCUGUUGUUGAUGGAGGAAAUGACGACCCACCACCACCGAACCCACCCAAGCCGAAGCCAAAUCCAAACCCCGACCAGGCUGGUUCCUCUGGUAGCUUCUCAGAUGCUGACCUUGCGGAUGGUGUUUCAGGUGGAGAAGGAAAAGGAGGCAGUGAUGGUGGAGGAAGCCACUGGAAAGAAGGGGAGGAGGGUAGGUGCACCUGGCUUCUGCCGUCUUUCUUCUUGUCUCUCCCACGUGGUGAUGAGGAGGGGAAGCAGAAUGUCUGAGAGCUGGUGGACUACACUGGCAUUGGCCUCCUGAAGCUAUUGGCAGGAGACACGGGUGUUCUGUGCCAAGUGCUCCCAAGUGGUAUAGCCGCAGAGGUCCCCCCAGCAAACCAGCCCUGCUCCAGGUGCCCACGUGACCCAGAUUUUACAUUUGGUCAUCUGCCCAUGAUGCUCUGGCUGGCGAUCUGACCCCUACAUCAUGCUUAGCCUCGUCCUUGUGUUUACUAAAGCUCCUACACUCACCCUAACGAUCAGAAGCUUGUGACGCGGGAUCCUCGGUUGCGCUUGGCCCUUGAGAACGUCAGGGACCAGGUGGGAGGUGGGAAUGUGGAUCGCUCCCACCCUGGCCGUAACAGGCAUUGUGUUCUCCAUGAAAGUGCCGGUGAUGUAUCUCCUGUCUCCUUUUUCAUAACCUUUUCCCUUAGAUGGGACAAGAAAAUAACCACAGAAAGAAUUCCUUUUAGAACUGUAAAGACAAAAAAAUGAGGUAAGAGAAAGAGAAAGUAGGGAGGAAGGAAGGAGGGAAGGAGGGAUGGAGAGAGCGAAGGAAGGAGGAAAGAAGGGAAGAAGGAAGGAAGGGAGGGAAGGGAGGAGGAAGGGAGGAGGAAGGGAGGGAGGGAAGGGAAAGAGGGGAGGGACGGAGGGAAAGAAGGAAAGCAGGAGAAGGGAGGAGGAAAGGAAGGAAGGAAUGAAGGAGAAGGGAGGAAAGGAAGGAAGGAGAGAGGGAAACAGAAGAAAAGGAGGAAAAGAAGGAAAGAGGGAAGGAGAGAGGAGAGACAGAAGAGAGGGAGGGGCGAGGACAAUAGCUUCGUAUUUUAGUAUCUCAUAUCUCUAAAAUUCUCAGGGACUUUGCUUCUAGCAAAAUGCCUGGUUUUAAGCAACUUCUUUGGCAGAAGAGAUACUAAUUUGGCCAAAGAUUUUAACACCUGUUUGCCAUUUUAAUCACUGAUAAAAUGUGAAUUCUUAAAAUACGCAACGAAUGUUUGUGGAAAAAGAAAAGUGCGUAGUCUACCCUUGUUUUAGGUAGUUAUUAUUUUUAUGGAUACAGUUCUUGAAUUCUGGGCUUUCUUUGAAGAGGCAGUAAUCUGUCUGUAGCUCUCACCUGGGACUACAAGGUCAUUAAAAAAAUAGCUAAGAAAACCCAUGCCUGGCAUGUUUAUGUCAGGCCGUCGCUCUUGGCCUUCUGGAGAGUUCAUGUUUACUGUGCCACUUCAUCAGGGAGGGGUAGUUAAGCUUGAAAAAUCUUUCCAAGACAUGACUGUGUCCUGCACAUAUUAAAGACUGGCCAAGUGAACACACCACCCACAGACCAUGUUUGGAGCCAGUGUUUUUGCUGAAAGUCAGACAAUUCUCCUUCCCCGUUAUGGAGAAGAUUCUAUCUGGAGAAGGGUCCUCUAAAGCUCACAUCGGGCAUUUGGAAUUAAGAAUCUCUUCAUCGGCUGGGCGCCGUGGCUUACACCUGUCAUCCCAGCACUUUGGGAGGCUAAGGCAGGAGGAUCGCUUGAGGCCAAGAGUUCGAAAUCAGCCUGGCCAACAUAGUGAAACCCCUUCUCUACAAAAAAAAUACAAAAAUUAGGCCAGGUGUGGUGGCUCACGCCUGUAAUCCCAGCACUUCGGGAGGCCAAGGCAGGUGGAUCACUUGAGGUCAGGAGUUUGAGACCAGCCUGGUUAACAUGGUGAAACCCCAUCUCUACAAAAAAUACAAAAAUUAGCAGGGCGUGUAGCAUGCACCUAUAGUCCCAGCUACUCGGGAGGCACAAGAAUUGCUUGAACCCAGGAGGCAGAGGCUGCAGUGAGCUGAAAUCGUGCCACUGCACUCCAGCCUGGGUGACAAAGUAAGACUGCAUUUCAAAAAAAAAUUAGCCAGUGGUGGUGGCACACAUCUGUAAUCCCAGCUACUUGGGAGACUGAGGCAGGAGACUAGCUGGAACCCGGGACGCAGAGGUUGCAGUGAGCCGAGACUGCACCAUUGCACUCCAGCCUGGGCAACAUAACAAGACUCUGUCUCCCAAAAACAAAAAAGAAUUAUUGCUGGAAUGACAUUUAAAAAAAAAUAGGCUGGGUGUGGUGGCUCAUGCAUGUAAUCCCAGCAUUUUGGGAGGCCUAGGCCGGCAGGUUGCUUUGGGCUGGGAGUUCGAGAUCAGACUGGGCAACAUAGCAAGACCCCAAUUCUAUAAAACCACAAUAAUUAACCAGACAUGGUGGUGCACACCUGUAGUCCCAGCUACUCAGAAGGCUGAAGUGGGAGGAUCUCAUGAGCCCAAGAGUUCAAGACUGUGGUGAGCUAUGAUUGCAUCAUGGCACUGCAGCCUGUUUGACAGAGCAAGAACCCAUCUCAAAAUAAUAAACAAUAAUAAUAAUAAAUAGAGAUGGAUUUA